GUUAACAACGUAGCUGCGUUCUAUCACCGUGACUCUUGGGAUUUCAAAACCUCAGACCAACGCCUCUGUAACGUCUUCAGAUUUUGCCUAUACAUUUAUCCAAGCAUUAACGUUGUUCCUACCACUCCUACCAGCAUUAAGUCGGCCUUAUCAUCCACCAAGGUAGCCGUUCAAAACACCAAAAAGUGUUCUUCCCCUGCGAGGACAGACGCACUGCAACGAAAUCCAAAGGUCAAUCACAAUCAAGCAACAACUCUGUCAAUGGCGAAAUCUUACACUUUUUUUGCCGAUUCGAAGGCUGGUCGCUGCUCAAACACGGUGGAUUAAUACAAAGGUUACAACUCCGAAAUCUGUUUAUUUGUUCUGUUUAUUCUCUAAGCAGCUUUGAUGUUACAUUGAGCCAAAAAAAACUUGCGACUCUCGGAUACGUCGUUAAUCACAGAUUCGAUAAAGUCAAUACAAACUGAAAUAUUUUGAUUCCUUGACUACGAUGGCAAAUACCGACAAACAGUUACCUGGUAUUCUUUUAAUCUUCUCUUAUCAAUUAGGCAUUUUUCAACCAUAUUAACGCAUCACCACUUCUAAAAUUGCGAGAUAUACUUGGUGAGCUUUUUGCAAUCAGGAACACAACGUGUUAUGCCUACUUUGCGUAUAUAAAGGCCGUUUUUUAAAUACAACUUCUGGAACCCACAUCUAAUUUGUCUCAGACACAGCUGUCGGAAAAGAACACUGUGAAAAAUAAUUGAGAUUCUCUGCACCAUCAAAGUUACUGGUAUCCAGACAGAAUAAGAAUGGCGCUAUAUAGGUUGUUCAACAUGUUCAAAGAAACUUCAGAGAUAAAUUUCUUCUUUCACAUGCAUCGUAUGUGAUAAUACCAGCGCUGUAGGCGUUCUCAGGUAUCAAGUUGAGCUGUCUGUCUCAGACCAGACGGAUGAAACUUUCUUUGUGGCUUUUGAUGUGGAGAUGACUAAGUUAACCAACAUUCAAGCUGCUGAAGCCGACCAUA
Molecule: long non-coding RNA, 1006 nt
Organism: Brassica oleracea var. oleracea
Lineage: Eukaryota; Viridiplantae; Streptophyta; Magnoliopsida; Brassicales; Brassicaceae
Exons: 4
Source: RefSeq, a predicted model, not a curated record